This 738-nucleotide ribosomal RNA is filed under the name uncultured Nitrosospira sp. RNAcentral's name for it is "bacterial SSU rRNA". It matches the Rfam family "Bacterial small subunit ribosomal RNA", at positions 57 to 789 of the family's 1533-position model. The record is from RNAcentral. Lineage: Bacteria; Pseudomonadati; Pseudomonadota; Betaproteobacteria; Nitrosomonadales; Nitrosomonadaceae.
GCAAGUCGAACGGCAGCACGGGGGCAACCCUGGUGGCGAGUGGCGAACGGGUGAGUAAUGCAUCGGAACGUGUCUUCGAGUGGGGGAUAACGCACCGAAAGGUGUGCUAAUACCGCAUAAUCUCUACGGAGAAAAGCAGGGGAUCGCAAGACCUUGCGCUCUUGGAGCGGCCGAUGCCUGAUUAGCUAGUUGGUGAGGUAAAGGCUUACCAAGGCGACGAUCAGUAGCUGGUCUGAGAGGACGACCAGCCACACUGGGACUGAGACACGGCCCAGACUCCUACGGGAGGCAGCAGUGGGGAAUUUUGGACAAUGGGGGAAACCCUGAUCCAGCCAUGCCGCGUGAGUGAAGAAGGCCUUCGGGUUGUAAAGCUCUUUCAGCCGGAACGAAACGGUCACGGCUAAUACCUGUGACUACUGACGGUACCGGAAGAAGAAGCACCGGCUAACUACGUGCCAGCAGCCGCGGUAAUACGUAGGGUGCAAGCGUUAAUCGGAAUUACUGGGCGUAAAGCGUGCGCAGGCGGUUUUGUAAGUCAGAUGUGAAAUCCCCGGGCUUAACCUGGGAACUGCGUUUGAAACUACAAGGCUAGAGUGUGGCAGAGGGGGGGUGGAAUUCCACGUGUAGCAGUGAAAUGCGUAGAGAUGUGGAGGAACACCGAUGGCGAAGGCAGCCCCCUGGGUUAACACUGACGCUCAGGCACGAAAGCGUGGGGAGCAAACAGGAUUAGAUACCCUG